CUUCUUUCCCUCCUCUCACUGGCAGCACCAUCCCAAUCCCUAUCCACUCCCCUCCCUCUCUCUCCUCCGCCGGCCCAAGCAGGCAGCGCCGGGCUCGGCUGGUUCCAGCACGGGCGGCUCGGCUGGUGGGCCGCAGCAGCGGCCAGGCGCGCACAAGAUGGCGGGCCGCGGCAGAGCGGGCGGGCGGCCUGGGCGCGGGCGCGUGCGCGUGCAGCUCAGCCAGGUCCUGGCGGCGCACGCGCAGGCAUCGCGGGAGGCGGGCCCAGGAGCAGGACACCGACGGCGGGCUGGUGGUGGCGCGGCGCGCAGAAGGCGCGGGCUGGCGGUGGCACGGCGUGCAGGUGAGCCCGAGCGGCGGCGGCUCGGCGCAAGCGCAGGAGGCGGCUCGGCCCGAGCGCAGGCGAGCAGAGACGCGUGAGGCGCGCGGCAGGUGUGACUCGGAGCGGCGGAGCGCGAGCGCCGGGCUCGGGAGGCUGAGCAGGAGCGGCGCCCGCGGUAGGAGCUGGGCGAGUGGUGCCUAGGCAGAGCGCGGAUGUGGAGUGGCACGGGUGGAGGCAGGCGCUGGAGGGUGGUGUGCGGAGUGCAGGUGCGCGGCAGCUGCGGCGGCGAGCGGGCGGCUGUGGCCGGUGCGAGGGCGAGUGGGCGCUGACUGCGGCUCGGCUUGGCGCAGGCAGCGCGGCUGUGGCGCGUUGGAGCGAGGGGCCAGAGGCGGAGGCUGACGGCUGCGGCAUGAGCGCAGACGCAGGAAGCGAGCAGCCCGGAACGAGCAGUAGCACACGGGUGGAGCAGCGCGUGCGCGGUGGAGCAGCAACGCGAGAAAGCGCGGUAGACGGCGGCGAAGUAGUGUGAACGCGCGGAAGCUGGCAGUGUGUGCAGGUAUUGGGCGGCCGAAGCAAGCACCGCACAGAUGCAGGCGGCGUAGGCAUGUGAGCGCAAGAGCAGGACCGAGCGGAGGCGAACGUCCCGGAGCAAGCAGUGGCGCGCAGAACGGAUUCAGACGCGUGAGCGGCAGCGCCAUGCGGGCCAAGGACGCGCGUGGUUCGAGCGUGCGCGGGAGCAAUACGGCAAGGCCGAAGCAAGCGACGCCGAGCCCCUGCGCAAGGACAGGCGGUGCGUAGCGGGGCUUCGACGCGAGAAGCGGGAACACGGUGGCGUCGACCCUGACUACGCCACGGUGAUCUUUGAUGGUGCAGGAGUGGCCGUAUCGAAGAUGCAGUUAAGGUGUUCGAUGAAAUGUUGGCCGCGGGAGAAGUGAUGCCAACUGCGGUGAUGUGCAAUGUAUUGAUCGGAGGCCGUCGAGGAGAGGGCAACGGAAGGCACGACCCUAAUGCAAGCAGACCACGGUCCUCGCGAAGGCGGAAGUGUGAGUAUGGCGUGGCGAAUCAGAAAAAGAAGCCGCGAAGCGAAGACAGUGGUCGAGCGUGACGAGCUCGGAGGAGAUGCGGUGCGGUCAGGUCAAGGAGGAUUUCUUCUUGUGCGUGAGCAGAGGAAGUUCAACCCGUGAACAAGGAAACCCUAAGGUUCGUGGAGAAGUCGGCUUAGCGAACCAAGCCGGUUUUAUCGUCUUAUCCCAAGGGUCCACGACGUCCAGCAGUUCCUACCCUCGUUGAUCGCUCAACCAACCGCCAUCACUACAAAUCACCGCGGGGAUUACCUCUUCGACCAUUCCCUACCCACUACAAUCCCCGGCAAGCUUCUUCGUCACCCACGGAAUCUCAUCAUCGUUGAGCUCAUCUUAUCGCCGAUUCUGUUCAUUGCAGGAAUUCACUUUCCGCCCAUUCUCUUCCACAACCAAGACUACCCCAAGGUUUGCCCUGAUUCACUGAAUCUUUCUAAUGCCGGCGAUUCCUUUGCCGGAAUAUCAUCGUUAUCUUCCUGUUAUCUGUUUUCCCGGACCAGGGACUUGAUUGCUAUGUUUUAGAAAUUUCUAGGGUGUUAUUUAUAAAAUUUCCACAGCUUUCUUUAUUUCAAAUCCGUGAACUUUUACAUUUCAUAGAUUUUCGUAGGAAGUUCAUAAAAGUACAAAAUCAAUUUUGUUUGAAACCCUAGGUUGAAAUCUACAAGUUUUAUGUUAUGAUCUUGAAUGAGAGUCUUUGAAUUGUAAUCUAGGUUGAAUACUAGGAAACGAAUGCUUUAUUUGUACCUUGAGUGGUAUGCAUGUGUUGUAGCUAAAGGGUUAAUCAUAGGAUAUAUGCCUUAGGCAGAAAGGUGUAAUAUCUAGUUAAUCCUAUCACCCUGGUGCUCAUAUCCUUGCCGUCAAGACGUUAUCCUUGUCUUGAUUGCCGUUUCCUUAAAUUUCUCUUCGUGUAAAGGUCUUUGUUAAUUCAGGUGCAUCUGUUGCUUAGCUUAUACAUCUCUGCAGCUAUGCUUCAGUGUCGGCUAUUAGCUCAGCCGCUAAGCAUCCAUUUCCUUAAGUCUAUGAUGUUUCUGCGUAACAGCUGUCAGCCGAUGCAUUUCUUUUAGUAUGCUUCUACCAUCGGUUGAUUAGCUGAUACGGUUGUUACCUUUCUAAUAUCGGCUACUGCCGAUAUAAUCCUUUUGUUCUGUCCUACAUCGACUGCACAGAAUCGAUGUAUCGGAGAGACACACAUGAUCUUAGGGUUCUUGCCAGGCCGACCCAAGCCAAUUUUGGCUGUUUUUCCAUAUCGGUCAAACACGGCCGAUUGAUCCUUAGUUUCCCUAUCCUUAUCCACACACUUCUAUCAGCCGAUUUAUCAACUGAAAGAUUGGCUGUGUAUCUAUCAGUCACCUACCCUUAACCACACUCCAAUCGGCUGUACGUCACUCAAUAGUUGUGCUGACAUAAUCGAGUCGAUACAACCACACCUAGUUGCCUAGUAUAACACUUAAGCACAUCCCAGUUAAGACAACUGCUUUAGGAAUCAUCCCUCUGCUAAGGUAAUCGAUGCUUUCAUCGAUCAAUUAGGAAACCAAUGCACCUUUCCAUCGGCUAAACCUCAGUUGUUUCCAAUCGGCUCUGUUGUAAUCUCCAACAAGUAGCCGAUUCUAAUUAGUUGUCCACCUACAACUCUGUUUAAGUUUAACUUCAAAUCUUUUUGGUUGUUAUGUGAAUAGUGUGUUAUAUGAGUGCUAGAUUGCAACUUUGUUGUGAAAUAAAAUAGUUUUGUGUGCACGCUUGAAUGUAAUGUUGCAUUACAUGUAGAUACGACUACUUCGACAACGGUACCUACGAGAUCUCCCCGGAGUCUACGGAGGAUGUUCCUGAAGACCAAGUGAACGUCACCAAGAGAUUAACUGAAGCCCCGAACCAAAGUUCGGGAGAUAUUGACAUUUCUGACUUCAGCCCCACCAGUAAAGGCAAGCCCCGGACAUAACCCACUAUUUUAAUUACACUGCAAUCUAUAUCUAUUUACAUAUUUUAUGCAUUAAGUUCUUAGGAAUUGCUUGAAACCCUAGUUGCACUCUCCUAGGAACCAAUGUGAUGGAUACUAGCACUUGAGUUCGACUAGCUGCUGUGCUAAUAAGGCCGGUAGAAGUCGGGUGAUUUCCUGUCACUCGCGCGAUAUAGGAGUUGCUUGUUUACAAUUCUGCAACCACUAUAAGGAUGACGGACAGGGUCAUGUGCUGUAUCAUGACCUGAAGUUUUACCCCGUCUGUUUUGUUAAAAGUUGAUAAGGCCGAUCCAUGUGGUAGUGGUGGCUAAGCGUUUGAAAGUACUAGCCACAUGCCACGAAAUAUGGUAAGCGGUAAGCCUAGUAGCCAAUCGGCCCGGCAAGUGGACAUACUGACCACCACAUGUAUUUGGUUCUUUUGGUUACUUGAUUCGAUGUGUGGGAAUACGUGUUGCAAGGGCAACCAGGAGUACGGGUUUUGUAGUCGCGCUACAGACGUACGUCCUGCACAUAUAGGGUGUGCGUAUGGUCCUGCAGUCGCUUUUGGUGGCCCUGUCCACAACCUGGAAUGAAAGGCAAACGGUUGCUUCAGAACGCCCUGUUGGUAUUCCAAGCGUGUGUGUUAGGUUUACCUUGCAAGGUUGAAUCUCGAUUCAGGAAUCGUCCGCCUCUCACGAUGAAUGAGACUACUUAUCCAUUUUACCACAUAGAGUAAGAAGUGUAACUAAUGAUGGAACAAUCUUGAUGGAUGAUAAUCCCUACCUUGCUUGUUUAGUGUAGGUGCUUACCUAGAAUGGCUAAUCAAACUAGAAUCUGAAAGCUAAAAUUUGAAAGUAGUUCAUACUCUUUGUUGCUUUUCAGCUGAAAAUAAACCCAGAACCUUUACAAUGCCUUCAUGAGUCUAGUUACGGGCUAAAGUAUACCCAAUUCCGGGUAAGCCUUGCUGAGUAUUAGUAUACUCAGCCUUGCUAGCUAUAUAUUUUGCAGGUAAUGUCUGGAAAACCCUACUCUCCCCUGCCUUGGCCCUGUGCUCUUCCAGAAGGUUGGUCCGUGGAAUGGGAUCCGUCCUCGGCCAACAUUGAUGAUACCGAGUGAUGUCGUGCCCGGGCUUAGCAUGACAUCCGUUUUGUCGACGUGCUGUAGAUCAUCGCGUAUGUUUUUCCGCUGCUAAACACCAUAGCUUUAACAGUUUGUAAUAUCUUUUCUAAUUUAGAGCUUCAUACUUCUUUCGGAAACUCUUGUAAUGAAUUUCCCUGUGAUGUAAAAUAUGAUGGUAAUUGUAUCUCUGGACUCACCUUCGUGUGAGGUAACCUUAUUUGAUCCUGUGUAUCGGUGGUUUAUCGGGACGUUACCCGACAGGCCAAGGGAUUAUUCCGUUUGAAGCACGUUGGAGCCCUCUGGAGUGGACUCGCGUACUUGAGCCGGUAUAAUUCAGGUUGGUUCUGCCACACCCGGCGCUGGCUUCCUCUUUCUUUUUCUCCCCUAUGUUGCCUGCUGCCUGCUCAAGCUGUAGCCCGCUCCUUGCGCGCACGCGCGAGCUAGCGCACGACCCGCCACUGCCCCCGUUGCUAGCUAUGCACGCGCGCUUGCAUCACGCCGCCCGCAUCAUGCCAUGGCCCCCGCGGCCGCUGCUGCUCGUUGUGCCGCUGCGUGCUUGCUGCCCGUGACCCUCCCAUGCCGGCCAUGUCCCCUCUCCCUCCUCUACCUCGCGCUGCAGCUCGCCGCCACCGCUCACCAUUGCCAGCCACCACCCGUCUCCGAGGACAGCCCUCCGUGGACCGCUUCCGCAUGAGGUGAGGGCCAGAAUCAGACCCCCUCGGCCUCCUCUCCGUUUUCCCCUCCUCCCCGGGUGUUGCCAUGCACCAGGGGGCCGGCGCCCAUGGCCUGGCCGCCCGCCCCCCCCCCCCCCAUCCUACCGUUCUCCUCCCCCUCCUGUUCUGUCUCAAGGAAGAAGAAAGGCAGACUUGUGCAUAACCCCCUCCACUUUUCCUCCUUAUGCAGUCCGCAGCCCUCCACCUCCCUCUCUCAAAUAUUUAACCAGAGCUCCUUCUAUCUCUUUAUUUCAUUACAAAUAGGUUCUCGUCCUUUUAAACUACUCCCUAAAUGACCUUUAACUCCACCACACAUCAAAUAUUUUCUCUUAGUCUCAGGAUCUACAUCCGACAAAUAUAAUAAUCUUCUCUAUUUUUUAAUCGAAGCUCUCUAGUUCCCCCUCUUUUUUUUAAGCUCGUCCGCGAACUUUGUUUUUAUUGUGUGAUUGUUUGUGUGUCGUAGCCGACGGUGUGACCGAGGAGGAGCAGGACCGCGAGCCGGAGCCCGAAGACCCAUACCUCGAAGAGGAGCUUCCGGAAGGCUUUGAGGACAGCAAGUCCAAUCCCAUCCUUUGAUGCAUAUUUAUCCCAAUUUUAUAACACAACCUAUUGGCCUGUUUUAUAAAAUGCAUUAUUGCAAGACAUGGUUGGAUAACCACC
Molecule: long non-coding RNA, 5824 nt
Filed under: Panicum hallii
Lineage: Eukaryota; Viridiplantae; Streptophyta; Magnoliopsida; Poales; Poaceae
Description: long non-coding RNA (PHAL_LNC000540)
Source: RNAcentral